UACGUAGGGUGCGAGCGUUAAUCGGAAUUACUGGGCGUAAAGCGUGCGCAGGCGGUUUUGUAAGCCAGAUGUGAAAUCCCCGGGCUUAACCUGGGAAUGGCAUUUGGGACUGCAAGGCUGGAGUGCGGCAGAGGAGACUGGAAUUCCUGGUGUAGCAGUGAAAUGCGUAGAUAUCAGGAGGAAUACCGAUGGCGAAGGCAGCCCCCUGGGCCAACACUGACGCUCAUGCACGACAGCGUGGGGAGCAAACAGG
Molecule: ribosomal RNA, 253 nt
Filed under: uncultured bacterium
Lineage: Bacteria
Description: partial 16S ribosomal RNA
Rfam family: Bacterial small subunit ribosomal RNA
Source: RNAcentral